AAGUUUUCUUAUGAAAGAGAUGAACUAAUGAAGUUGUGGAAAGAUGAUUUGUCUUCAGGGUUUGGUUAUACUCCCAUGAAAUAUAAGAAGAAGCUAAUCACAGAAAAGAAGAACACUAAUAGGAGUAAUGGCAUUGCUUAUGCAAAUGGCAGUUAUUAUGGAGAAUAUGCAUCUGACCGGGAAAUCAGAAGACGGUUAUCAAAAUUGAACAAAAAAUCCAUGGAUUCAGGAAGCGAAACUUCUGAUGAAUUUGACAAGUCCUCUGAAGAUGGGUGGAGUGAUAGUGAAAGUACUGCCUCAUACACAGAAAGUGACUUGGAUUUCCGAUCAGAAGCUCGAAGUGUGGAGUCCACAGGGGAUGGAUUCUUUAUGGUGGAUGAGGGUUUAGAUUCCAUAUCAGAUGAUCGUGAAUGGGGUGCUCGCAUGACAAAAGCAAGUCUGGUUCCUCCUGUCACUAGGAAAUAU
This 465-nucleotide unclassified non-coding RNA is filed under the name Hevea brasiliensis (rubber tree). The record is from RNAcentral. Lineage: Eukaryota; Viridiplantae; Streptophyta; Magnoliopsida; Malpighiales; Euphorbiaceae.